GAGAUUUCUUUAUCAUUAAUCAAAGUUCAAUUUAUAGGAAAAAGAGAAGUUUGUGGUAAAGUUUCUUUCAUAUUUUCAUCUUACUUUAUAUAUCGUGAAUUUAGAUUAAUCAACCGUUGAACUUUUAAUGUUAGAUUGUUAUUAAAAGGAGAAAAAGGUAAAAGAGUUUUUGGAUUGAUGAUUUUGUGCUUUGUGGGCUAUACACAAGAGGCAGCAGGUGCAGCAUAAAGAGAAAAAGAGGUGGCAGUAAUAUUGAUGAGGUCACAAAGGCUUUUAAUCUAGCAGUGGGG
RNAcentral lists this long non-coding RNA (290 nucleotides) under Solanum tuberosum (potato). RNAcentral's name for it is "long non-coding RNA (STUB_LNC011072)". Lineage: Eukaryota; Viridiplantae; Streptophyta; Magnoliopsida; Solanales; Solanaceae. The record is from RNAcentral.